UGAAUGGCUCAGUGAGGCGUUCGGACUGGCCCAGGGAGGUCGGCAACGACCACCCAGGGCCGGAAAGUUCGUCAAACUUGGUCAUUUAGAGGAAGUAAAAGUCGUAACAAGGUCUCCGUAGGUGAACCUGCGGAGGGAUCAUUA
RNAcentral lists this ribosomal RNA (144 nucleotides) under Readeriella mirabilis. Its description in RNAcentral is "partial 18S ribosomal RNA". It matches the Rfam family "Eukaryotic small subunit ribosomal RNA", at positions 1690 to 1831 of the family's 1831-position model. The record is from RNAcentral. Lineage: Eukaryota; Fungi; Ascomycota; Dothideomycetes; Mycosphaerellales; Mycosphaerellaceae.